GGGGUGUUCUCAGAACGAGGGGUCUAAAGAAUGGCUUCUCUGUUUACAACAUACCCAAGAAUAAUAUGGGGCCAUUGUAAUGAGGGGCAAAGCACUAUUUCCUCUCUGUGAGUAUAUUCCCUACAUGU
RNAcentral lists this small nucleolar RNA (128 nucleotides) under Neotoma lepida (desert woodrat). RNAcentral's name for it is "Small nucleolar RNA SNORA11". It matches the Rfam family "Small nucleolar RNA SNORA11". From Rfam's summary of the family: U107 (SNORA11) is a member of the H/ACA class of snoRNAs that guide the sites of modification of uridines to pseudouridines. This snoRNA was identified by RT-PCR from blood cells and its expression confirmed by Northern blot analysis. Lineage: Eukaryota; Metazoa; Chordata; Mammalia; Rodentia; Cricetidae. The record is from Rfam by way of RNAcentral.